AGAGUUUGAUCCUGGCUCAGAUUGAACGCUGGCGGUAUGCUUAACACAUGCAAGUCGAACGGAAACGAAACUAGCUUGCUAGUAGGCGUCGAGUGGCGGACGGGUGAGUAACGCGUAGGAAUCUGCCUGAUAGUGGGGGAUAGCCCGAAGAAAUUCGGAUUAAUACCGCAUAAUCUAUUCGUAGUAAAGUGGGGGACUUUCGAGCCUCACGCUAUCAGAUGAGCCUGCGUAAGAUUAGCUUGUUGGUAGGGUAAAAGCCUACCAAGGCAACGAUCUUUAGCUGGUCUGAGAGGAUGAUCAGCCACAUCGGGACUGAGACACGGCCCGAACUCCUACGGGAGGCAGCAGUGGGGAAUAUUGGACAAUGGGGGCAACCCUGAUCCAGCAAUACCGCGUGUGUGAAGAAGGCCUGAGGGUUGUAAAGCACUUUCAAUUGUGAAGAAAAGUUAACGGUUAACAACCGUUGACCUUGACGUUAACUUUAGAAGAAGCACCGGCUAACUCCGUGCCAGCAGCCGCGGUAAUACGGAGGGUGCAAGCGUUAAUCGGAAUUACUGGGCGUAAAGCGUGCGUAGGCGGUUUAUUAAGUCAGAUGUGAAAGCCCCGGGCUUAACCUGGGAACUGCAUUUGAAACUGGUCAACUAGAGUAUGGUAGAGGAAAGUGGAAUUUCUGGUGUAGCGGUGAAAUGCGUAGAUAUCAGAAGGAACAUCAAUGGCGAAGGCAGCUUUCUGGACCAAUACUGACGCUGAGGUACGAAAGCGUGGGUAGCAAACAGGAUUAGAUACCCUGGUAGUCCACGCCGUAAACGAUGAUAACUAGCCGUUGGGGGGAUUUACCCCUUAGUGGCGAAGCUAACGCGUUAAGUUAUCCGCCUGGGGAGUACGGCCGCAAGGCUAAAACUCAAAGGAAUUGACGGGGACCCGCACAAGCGGUGGAGCAUGUGGUUUAAUUCGAUGCAACGCGAAGAACCUUACCUGGUCUUGACAUCCUGCGAACUUUCUAGAAAUAGAUUGGUGCCUUCGGGAACGCAGUGACAGGUGCUGCAUGGCUGUCGUCAGCUCGUGUCGUGAGAUGUUGGGUUAAGUCCCGUAACGAGCGCAACCCCUAUCCUUAUUUGCCAGCACAUUAUGGUGGGAACUAUAAGGAGACUGCCGGUGAUAAACCGGAGGAAGGCGGGGACGACGUCAAGUCAUCAUGGCCCUUACGACCAGGGCUACACACGUGCUACAAUGGGAAGGACAAAGAGCCGCGAAGCCGCGAGGUGUAGCUAAUCUCAUAAAUCUUUUCGUAGUCCGGAUUGGAGUCUGCAACUCGACUCCAUGAAGUCGGAAUCGCUAGUAAUCGUAGAUCAGAAUGCUACGGUGAAUACGUUCCCGGGUCUUGUACACACCGCCCGUCAUACCAUGGGAGUGGGUUGCACCAGAAGUGGCUAGUCUAACUUUGUGAGGACGGUCACCACGGUGUGAUUCAUGACUGGGGUAAAGUCGUAACAAGGUAACC
Molecule: ribosomal RNA, 1501 nt
Filed under: uncultured bacterium
Lineage: Bacteria
Description: bacterial SSU rRNA
Rfam family: Bacterial small subunit ribosomal RNA
Source: RNAcentral